GUCCCGGUAGCUCAGGCGGUACGAGCGCGGCCACGACACGGCCGAGGCCCCUGGUUCGAUCCCAGGUCGGGACAC
This 75-nucleotide transfer RNA is filed under the name Rugosimonospora africana. Its description in RNAcentral is "tRNA-Val". Lineage: Bacteria; Bacillati; Actinomycetota; Actinomycetes; Micromonosporales; Micromonosporaceae. The record is from RNAcentral.